This 2946-nucleotide long non-coding RNA is filed under the name Physcomitrium patens. Its description in RNAcentral is "long non-coding RNA (PPAT_LNC010568)". The record is from RNAcentral. Lineage: Eukaryota; Viridiplantae; Streptophyta; Bryopsida; Funariales; Funariaceae.
CUUAACAUGAUUUUAUCUUCAAUGAUCUUUAAGUCUGUGGUAAUUUUUUUAUCCUUAUAAAUAUUACUAAAUACUAUUGAAUUGAUUUAAUUUGAUUUUAAAAAUAAUAAGAUGUCAUAUGGUGGUUGUAAAGUCCUAAUAUAAUUCUAAAUUUGAAUUCUUUUACAAAGUUUAUUAAAUUUUCUUUAAUAGAAUAGUGAUUUUUAUUUUAUAAUAUUAAACAAAAAGAAGUAAGUAAAAGAUUGAUUUAAAUAAAAGUAAAUUCUUCCAAUUUUUUUGUAGUAAAGAUUAAUAUAUUUAUAUAUCUUAUGAAAAAGUUCUUCUAUUUUUUUCUUUGAUUAUUAUUAUUAUUAUUAUUAUUAUUAUUUUCUUUAACUGUUACCAUUUUGAACAUAUUAUUUAGAAGGAUAAACAGGUGUUUUUUAGCUUAACGUUAUGAAGAUUUUCACCAAUAAAGGCUUUCUAUCCAUCUUUGCUAAUGUCAUAGUUGAUAAAGUAAUACAAUGUGCAAUUCUUUUGUAAUGAAAAUUCACAUUUAUAAGGUUGUUUUAGAAAAGGAAGAGAGAAAAAGAAGGAGGUGGUGACUCAUUUUCUUUGUUUGAUGUCAUAUAUUUUUGCAAUAUUUAUUUUUAUUUUUAUUUUUAAGAUUAUUUAAAAAAAUACUUAUAUAAAAAUAUUUUCUUUUUAAUUUAAUCAUCAAGUAUAUUAUCAAAAAGAGAGUAUUUUUUUGCUUCUAAUCUUAUAAGAUUAUGUGUAGUGUGGAUGUUGACGUCAAAAAUAUUUUAUGAAAUGCUCAUGCUAUUCACAUCUUCAAGAUUAUAGACAACAUUCUUCUUUAUUAAUAAUUUUGACUUAAAUUACUAAGUUUAAAGAAAUGUUUUUAGUUUUUUUGAAUUAUACUUGUUAUACUAUUACUAAUUGAUUAUCAAGGUUUUUCUUUAAAAAAAAAAACAUUAAAUACAUGAACUGAAAUUUGAACUUUUUAAUCUAUCUCUUAUAUAUUGUGUUUUUUUAUUAGUCUAUGUUGUAGAAAAGAGAUAGACUUUGAAACAAAUCAAUUAGUUUGUAUGAGUCUUUAUUCUCCAUGCUAUUAAUUUAUUAUUUAAUGAUGUAAAUACAAUAUCAUUAAUAUUUUCUUUUCUUUCAAAACUAUUAAAGGACCUUGUCUUUAAUGUUUUUGUAAAUUCAAAGCCAAAAGUGUGUAGUGGACUUCUUCUGUUGUAAUUUUCUUUACUUGAUUAAAAAUGAUAUAAUUUCUUAUUCAGAUGGUGCAAUUAUUUGUUGUAAUAAUCUUGGAUGUAUUACAUAAAGAGGUUAUUCUAAUUGUUUGGUAUUUGUCUUCUAUUAUGUCUAUAUUUGUUGAAUAAGAAUAUUUUUAAUUUUAAUUGUAAAUUUUUAUCUAGUGUACUAUCAAUCUUACAUAGAAUCCGUUGAUUGCAAAGAAGAAUCUAAUUCUGCUAGAUAUAAUUGAUUGCUGAUAUUGAAUAUUUUUUUAUAGAACUUUGUGUUUGGUUCCAAUUUAGAUUCAUUACACUAAUGUUUGGUUCCAAUUUUCUCCAGUAUAAUCUAAUUUUUAAAAUAAAUUUAUGUAUAUCUAAAUUACAUGAUAUUGAUUUUUUUUCUUCAAAAUAAAAUAACACACACACACACACACACACACAUAUAUAUAUAUAUAUAUAUAUAUAUAUAUAAUUUUUUAAGGCUAUGAUUAAAUAUUUGGAUCAUUUUAAAAUAAUAAAUUAUUUGGAUUUAUUGUCUUUUAAAUUCUAAAUAAAAAUUAAUAAAAUAUUAUUAUGUUUUAAAAUUAGAACUCUUAAUAACUUUAAUGUAUGAUUCUAUUGACAAGAAUUUUAUACAAAAGUAAAUUGUAUGAUACAGUCUGUUGAUUGAAUAGAAGAAGUUUAAAUGGACCAUUUUCUUAUUUAUUACUUUUAAAGCAUUAAAUUAGAUAUUUUAUAUUUAAAACUAAAACCAUACAAAAAUGACUCAUAUUGAAGCCUUCAAUCAACUGUUGAAAUUAGUAUUAAAUAUAUUAGUAUUUUAAUAAACUGUACAAAAUUAAGAUAAUUUUUGUAGCAUUUAAUGAUCCAUAAUUGUAACUUUAUGUAAAAUUUUGUAACAAGAAAAAUUUCUGAGUAUCUCAGUGUAACCAUUUUGAUAAUCAAUAUGUUAUUGUGAACAUACCUGACCAUUGAACUUAUUUUUUUGUCUCUUGUUUGUAUGUAUUUAUGAAGCUGAGUUGUAGAACAUCAAGUAGAGUAUCGAAUACAUGUUUACAGCCACACAUAAUUAAUCAACCAAGUUAAUGGAACUCGACUAACAUAAAUGUGUGUUAUAAUGGACUACAAGGCUCACACAUACAAAACAGAACACAUCAAAUAUACACAUAUAUAUAUAUAUAUAUAUAUAUAUUGCAAUGCCAGCUAUCCGCCUGAUUUUGCUUCCACUUACAGCGCUUAUGUUUACUGCAUUCUUCAGCUCCUCAAACGGUUACACAGCUCAUCUGUCAUUGUCUUCAGACAUUCGUUAUUCUUCGUGUAAUACAAUGUGCAGUGUGAUUGAUCGCUAAUUUGGUUGUGGUUACAACAAAGCACAUGUCAAUCAAACUCGAAAGUGAAGGCAGCAAAUAUGCAAUCCGAGCUUCAUUGACAUCAAUCUAGAGUCGCUCUUCGACCACGCGUGCAAUUGUUGUGUAAAUCUCGAGAAAAAAGUGCUUGUCUACCUGCAUCUCGUAGUAACCGAUUCUAGAAAUUUCAGACAGUGCCUAUUCCCAUGCAUUAAAACGAAGAUUAACGAACUACCUGUGCCAGAAGAAGAGAGUCUAAUGUGUACACUCACAAUGAUGCAUGUUUCAUAAAUGGCAACAACGGCGUCUAAUCCACAACAAAGACAAGCACGGAAGACUCUGACGCCUUCGAAAUUGAGCAAAGGUUGUAGGAAUCUCAC